Molecule: long non-coding RNA, 1683 nt
Organism: Rosa chinensis
Lineage: Eukaryota; Viridiplantae; Streptophyta; Magnoliopsida; Rosales; Rosaceae
Exons: 4
Source: RefSeq, a predicted model, not a curated record
CAAGUGUACAUCUUACCAUUAUAUAAUUAAAUAUGAUACAUGGUAUUGGCAGAGCACAUCUAGUGCACAUCAAUAUAGCAUAUUUGCUAUAUCUACAUUUUACUUCUUCAAUUCCACAUUAAAUUUGUUGCUACUUACCUUGCCAUGGCUACCCAUGAUUAUUAUGAACUUGUGAUCAGUAUAUAUCUCCCAUGCACCAAAACCUGACACCCUAAGGCGCAACUUCUUAUUCUUAACAACUGCACCAGCAUGCUAGUUAAAGCAUUUUCAAUUAAACAUCUUUUGAAAGUGGCAUGACCUAGCUAGUGUAGAACUUCACUACCACUUGAAACAUCAUGAGUGUUACGGGUAUACACAUGCUAGCAUACUACUGGUACCACGCAUCUACAUGCAUGGUCAAAUAUGGCUAUUAUUUGCUAGCUCGGGUACAUGCCAUGCAUGUAUGUGUUACAUUUAGUCCUCACCACAUGGGAGCUGCAUUGCUCACCACGUACUCUUCAAGUAUAGUGUACAUAUUUCUUUCCUGCUAGUAUGCAGACACUUAUCAUAGAGGUCUAUAUCUCAUUCAUUUUAAGGUAACCACCAUCAUGUGUUGCACACAAAUUUAAUUGUUUUCACAUGUUCUUUUGGGCGAGGGAAUUGAUAUAUUCAUUCUAACGUGCAUACUAUUCACACCACUCUGACCGAAUUCAUAAUUUGCCUAUCACAUAAUAACUUAAUUUGUGCCUAUUCCAUGCUACUUAUGUUCCAAGCAACAGACACAAGAACUUCAUGAGGCCUUUGUUGGAGCUGUCAACCAGCUAAAAUAAUUGUCUUCUUUAUUUCUUUUGUUUCUGUUUUCGCAUGUUUUUGUGCUCUGUUUUCUUUUAAUUAACUAGAAUAGGCAAUGAUCUCCACAAUCCCUAAAAAUUUACCAGUAUCCAGUUUAGUGUGUUAGCUUAGUGUCUAUAAAAUUUCAUUGAAAUCGGAGUAGUUUAAGUUAGGUUUUUAGUCUUAAUUUUGGUUUCUGGUCAUAGUGUUAUUUAAUCUGUUAUUUAAUAGAAGAUUUGUUGAUGGAUAAAUUGUAGCUUCACUAUGCAAGCGAAAACUCGAGCAUUUCUUUAGAACAGAUUAUUUACCAUAAUGCAAUUUUUACUCCUUUGGUUUCAGGGGCAAUGACGGCUUUGCUUCGAAAUCUUGAUCAUUGCCUCUCAAGCUAUUCAUCUGUUAUAUGAAAAUCCGAGAUAGAGGAUGCAGAGGAAUGCUUCAAACUAUUUUCUUUGGAAGAGGCGGCUAAAUUUGACGAAGUGACCCUUGCCAAUGUGAACAACUUCAAAAAGCGCUCAAAAAGCCAGUCACCUAAUGCAAUCCACAAAGAAUAUAUAGUGGUUACAAUUCUGGUGGCUACUGAUGGAGAACAGAAGUUGCCCACCAUCAGUGGCACUCGUGACUUGAAGAAAGCAUUACAUAAACUUGGAGCCAUUUCCUCGAACAAAAUAAUGAUGAUUUCUUCCAAGGAAGCAAGCUGCUUGUCAUAGAGGAAAAGCAAGCCCUGCAAGCUGACUGCUUCCCAUAUAUGGAACAAUUGUUAUAUUUAUACAAGUCCAAAUGUUGUUCAUCGUAGUUUCAUUGUCUUUUUUUUUUUCGAUGCUAUUGCAUCACCCCAUGUACUAUUUACUUUCAUUUAAUAAAGUUUGACGUUCU